Molecule: ribosomal RNA, 253 nt
Filed under: uncultured bacterium
Lineage: Bacteria
Description: partial 16S ribosomal RNA
Rfam family: Bacterial small subunit ribosomal RNA
Source: RNAcentral
UACAGAGGGUGCGAGCGUUAAUCGGAAUUACUGGGCGUAAAGCGCACGUAGGUGGCGACGUAAGUCGGGUGUGAAAGCCCCGGGCUCAACCUGGGAAUUGCAUUCGAGACUGCAUUGCUGGAGUACGGAAGAGGAGGGCGGAAUUCCCGGUGUAGCGGUGAAAUGCGUAGAGAUCGGGAGGAACAUCCGUGGCGAAGGCGACUACCUGGACCAGCACUGACACUGAGGCACGAAAGCGUGGGGAGCAAACAGG